Anolis carolinensis (green anole) is the source of this 668-nucleotide long non-coding RNA. RefSeq lists it as uncharacterized. The transcript is spliced from 2 exons. The record is from RefSeq and is a predicted model, not a curated record. NCBI's taxonomy places the organism in Eukaryota, Metazoa, Chordata, Lepidosauria, Squamata, Anolidae.
CUAGCUUGAGGGUGGAUGCUUCUUAAGUUGAGAAUGAAACUCAUCAUUUUUUUUAAGUAUUUAACAUCUGGGAGCAAUUUGUUACAAUGCAAUCAGCAUUGUAUUCUAUUCCCCCUUUUAAAAGAGUAGCUUCUGUUAUUGUUUAACCCAUGACUGACUAUGUAAUUUGCCAAUUUAACCCUGACCAGGCUGUGAAAUUUGUCAUUUUUGGCUGAUAACUUACACAAAGACCUUUAAACAGCAUGAUUUAUUUACACUAAUUCUGCCUUGAAGACAAUGGCACCCCUGUCUGAAACAGGAUGUCCCAACUCAACUCUGCCCUGCUCAGCAAGACAGCCUCAAAAAGCAAAGAGAUCUAAGUUCAAGGAAAUAUUCCUUGGGAGAAAGAGCAAAUAGAUACAGUGGGUGGAUUGUGCGGCUUGUAUCUCAUUAAGAGAGGAUCAGAUCCUGGAAAUGCUGACUGAAAGGGUGUUUCAUUUGGACCAUGGCGGGAGAUUCAAAACUUGCUGACUGGGAGCCUGGGAGUCCUGAUGGCUUGCUGGAUGAAGACCAAGGAAGACUUGUAGCAGCUGCCAGCUCCAGAAGAUACAUUGUUUCCAAACCCCUUUUUAUGAAUUACAAAGUAACCCUUUAAUAAAUGGACACCCUGGCGUCCUUUUGCCCUCGUA